AGUUUGAUCCUGGCUCAGGACGAACGCUGGCGGCGUGCCUAAUACAUGCAAGUCGAACGAACUCUGGUAUUGAUUGGUGCUUGCAUCAUGAUUUACAUUUGAGUGAGUGGCGAACUGGUGAGUAACACGUGGGAAACCUGCCCAGAAGCGGGGGAUAACACCUGGAAACAGAUGCUAAUACCGCAUAACAACUUGGACCGCAUGGUCCGAGUUUGAAAGAUGGCUUCGGCUAUCACUUUUGGAUGGUCCCGCGGCGUAUUAGCUAGAUGGUGGGGUAACGGCUCACCAUGGCAAUGAUACGUAGCCGACCUGAGAGGGUAAUCGGCCACAUUGGGACUGAGACACGGCCCAAACUCCUACGGGAGGCAGCAGUAGGGAAUCUUCCACAAUGGACGAAAGUCUGAUGGAGCAACGCCGCGUGAGUGAAGAAGGGUUUCGGCUCGUAAAACUCUGUUGUUAAAGAAGAACAUAUCUGAGAGUAACUGUUCAGGUAUUGACGGUAUUUAACCAGAAAGCCACGGCUAACUACGUGCCAGCAGCCGCGGUAAUACGUAGGUGGCAAGCGUUGUCCGGAUUUAUUGGGCGUAAAGCGAGCGCAGGCGGUUUUUUAAGUCUGAUGUGAAAGCCUUCGGCUCAACCGAAGAAGUGCAUCGGAAACUGGGAAACUUGAGUGCAGAAGAGGACAGUGGAACUCCAUGUGUAGCGGUGAAAUGCGUAGAUAUAUGGAAGAACACCAGUGGCGAAGGCGGCUGUCUGGUCUGUAACUGACGCUGAGGCUCGAAAGUAUGGGUAGCAAACAGGAUUAGAUACCCUGGUAGUCCAUACCGUAAACGAUGAAUGCUAAGUGUUGGAGGGUUUCCGCCCUUCAGUGCUGCAGCUAACGCAUUAAGCAUUCCGCCUGGGGAGUACGGCCGCAAGGCUGAAACUCAAAGGAAUUGACGGGGGCCCGCACAAGCGGUGGAGCAUGUGGUUUAAUUCGAAGCUACGCGAAGAACCUUACCAGGUCUUGACAUACUAUGCAAAUCUAAGAGAUUAGACGUUCCCUUCGGGGACAUGGAUACAGGUGGUGCAUGGUUGUCGUCAGCUCGUGUCGUGAGAUGUUGGGUUAAGUCCCGCAACGAGCGCAACCCUUAUUAUCAGUUGCCAGCAUUAAGUUGGGCACUCUGGUGAGACUGCCGGUGACAAACCGGAGGAAGGUGGGGAUGACGUCAAAUCAUCAUGCCCCUUAUGACCUGGGCUACACACGUGCUACAAUGGAUGGUACAACGAGUUGCGAACUCGCGAGAGUAAGCUAAUCUCUUAAAGCCAUUCUCAGUUCGGAUUGUAGGCUGCAACUCGCCUACAUGAAGUCGGAGUCGCUAGUAAUCGCGGAUCAGCAUGCCGCGGUGAAUACGUUCCCGGGCCUUGUACACACCGCCCGUCACACCAUGAGAGUUUGUAACACCCAAAGUCGGUGGGGUAACCUUUUAGGAACCAGCCGCCUAAGGUGGGACAGAUGAUUAGGGUG
RNAcentral lists this ribosomal RNA (1507 nucleotides) under Lactiplantibacillus pentosus. RNAcentral's name for it is "partial 16S ribosomal RNA". It matches the Rfam family "Bacterial small subunit ribosomal RNA". The record is from RNAcentral. Lineage: Bacteria; Bacillati; Bacillota; Bacilli; Lactobacillales; Lactobacillaceae.